UACGUAGGUGGCAAGCGUUGUCCGGAAUUAUUGGGCGUAAAGCGCGCGCAGGUGGUUCUUUAAGUCUGAUGUGAAAGCCCACGGCUCAACCGUGGAGGGUCAUUGGAAACUGGGGGACUUGAGUACAGAAGAGAAGAGUGGAAUUCCAGGUGUAGCGGUGAAAUGCGUAGAUAUCUGGAGGAACACCGGUGGCGAAGGCGGCAUCCUGGACCGGUAUUGACGCUGAGGCGCGAAAGCUAGGGGAGCAAACGGG
RNAcentral lists this ribosomal RNA (253 nucleotides) under uncultured bacterium. RNAcentral's name for it is "partial 16S ribosomal RNA". It matches the Rfam family "Bacterial small subunit ribosomal RNA", at positions 524 to 776 of the family's 1533-position model. The record is from RNAcentral.